UUUUAAGCCUCAAGACCUCUGAAUGCUAAUGGCAGUACCUGUGAGCCUCUUCAUACAUUAUACUACAGAAAACAUGUUUGUCCCUGAAUAUUUUUAUCAGGGAGCUGCAGCUAUUCCCAGCGUCUUGCAAGUGUACCUACAUGACAGAAAUGUUUGUUAUUGCGUUCAUUCUUUAUUCUUCUAUGGGCAGUCCAUAAAAAUGCAAUAUAUGGGGCAGCCUUGAGAAGCUUGUAAUAUGGAAGUUACUAUGGAUGCGAAACAGCAGUGUGCUGUAUUUAUUAUUUAAUUAUUAAAUUUCCAUCUCACCCUCCCUAAGGGGCCCAGGGCAGCAAACACCAAAAUAAUAAAGCAAUCAUAAUUUUUAAACUAAACAAAACUUAUUUAAAACACUUAAAAACAUCAUAUAACCCCACAGCAAAUAAUAUCUGGAUCAAGUAUCUUUUGACCAUCAAAUGCCUGAUUAAACAGGAAUGCUUUUCAGUUUCUUCUGAAAGUUAAUAAUAUCAGCUUCCUACCCUCAGAAGUAAUAUUUUGAAUGUAUCACUUUGACUGUUCAAAUUGUUUAUACAAUGUUUAUUUGAAAUCCAUACAAUAAUAUUGUAAAUGUAUGUGAUGUUAUCCCUAUAAUACAAAUAAGCUUAUGGCAAAA
Podarcis raffonei (Aeolian wall lizard) is the source of this 649-nucleotide long non-coding RNA. RefSeq lists it as uncharacterized. The record is from RefSeq and is a predicted model, not a curated record. The transcript is spliced from 2 exons. NCBI's taxonomy places the organism in Eukaryota, Metazoa, Chordata, Lepidosauria, Squamata, Lacertidae.